Molecule: long non-coding RNA, 649 nt
Organism: Tupaia belangeri chinensis (Chinese tree shrew)
Lineage: Eukaryota; Metazoa; Chordata; Mammalia; Scandentia; Tupaiidae
Exons: 5
Source: RefSeq, a predicted model, not a curated record
GAACAUGGAACAUUUACCAUGAGUGAAGUGGUGGUGGUGCCUGACUGCCCUCUCUCCAUAUCCUCAGUACUAGAAGGACAAGCUCUCUGAAGCAUAUUCACCUGAAAAGACAUGGCUGAGCUUACCUUCUGAUGUUACCAGCUCAUCACCCUGAUGCUGGUGCACACACAGAGCUUCUAGAACAAUGAAAGAUUAUUCAGAAUUUCAAAAUCAAAAUUUGGACAACACUUAUAAAGAGAAGGAGCAAGAAGGAGAGAGACCCUUCUGAAAGUGUCUCAAUACCAUGAUUCACCCCCAGCUUUCAGCCAGCCCUGUUUCCUGGGUUAGCGUGUGCCUACUAUACUCAGGACAUCCUUUGACAAGGUGCUUGAGGACCUCUGGAGUAUGCAGAAAGAGCCAAGCCAUAGAGCUAGAGGAGAUCCUUCAGCAAGUGCCUCCAGACCAGAUCAUCAGGCCAUUGCCAGAUGUACUUAGGUGUUAGGGAGGCAUCCAGUUGCCUAACCUGAUCACUUCUCACAGGGCAUUCUCCUCAGAGCACAGUCAUGGACAACCUUCAGCAGAGUCACCUGAAGAGCUCACUAAAAUUGCAGACACCCCCAGACCUUCUCAUUUGGAAAUCCUGGGCGACCUAGGAACCUAGAUCUUUAAA